This 219-nucleotide ribosomal RNA is filed under the name marine snow associated bacterium Adriatic69. Its description in RNAcentral is "partial 16S ribosomal RNA". It matches the Rfam family "Bacterial small subunit ribosomal RNA", at positions 221 to 444 of the family's 1533-position model. The record is from RNAcentral.
GAAGAGGAACUAAGCGAGUUAGCUAGUUGGUGAGGUAAAGGCUCACCAAGGCGACGAUCUCUAGCUGUUCUGAGAGAAGAUCAGCCACACUGGGACUGAGACACGGCCCAGACUCCUACGGGAGGCAGCAGUGGGGAUAUUGCACAAUGGGGGAAACCCUGAUGCAAGCAUGCCGCGUGUGUGAAGAGGCCUUCGGGUUGUAAAGCACUUUCAGUUGUG